CUAAUUUACUUUAUUAUGUAGGAAAUGUCACAUCGAAGAGGAAGAGUACAAAUAGUGUCUCCAGAAGAUGAGUUGGACAAUCUACAACUCUUAGACAUACAACCUGCUGCAACUACUACUCCUAGUAGUUCUAAUCCUUCCGAUUCUUCAGAUCCUUCAGUUGUUGGUUCAUCCUCUAGCAAAAAGAGGACACGUGGCCCAACACGUAACUUAGAUUUACUUAGUAUGAAACCCGGGGAAAAAAACCUACAAGAUUCAAUACCAGAGGGCAAGUUGUUUAUGAUGGAAAAGGGGAAAGAUUGUCAAGCUAUAUGGGAACAUUGGUGCGAUCUCAACACAAUGUGCCCAUCCAAGUUCAAGAUUGGAAUCAUGUUAGUGAAGAUGUGAAGGAAAAGAUUUGGGCCUUAGUAUUGGAAAAAUAUGAACUAGAAGAAACAUGUAAGAGCUACAUUCUUCAAUGUUGUGGAAAUUUUUUUAGAAGCUAUAGAAAUAAAAUGAAGGCCAAGUAUUAUAACCCUUAUAAUACAGAUGAGGAGAGAUUGUGUCAUCGACCUCCACACUUAUCAGAUGAUGAUUGGAGGUGGCUCAUCCACUUUUGGG
Long non-coding RNA from Vitis vinifera (wine grape), 600 nucleotides. RefSeq lists it as uncharacterized. The transcript has 3 exons. The record is from RefSeq and is a predicted model, not a curated record. NCBI's taxonomy places the organism in Eukaryota, Viridiplantae, Streptophyta, Magnoliopsida, Vitales, Vitaceae.